UUUUUUUNUUUUUUUUUUUUUUUUUUUUAAUCAGGAGGCCUUGGCUAAGACACUUUUUUCCAUCUGACUUUGCUUUUCUAGUACUAUCCCUUCCCCUCUCCAUCCUCUGGCUCCUCAGGUCCACAAGGAGACUCUGCAGGCAUCUUUGUUCUGUGCUCCUUAGCAGUGAGACUAUUCCUCCAGUCCCAGCUCCCAUUACCAUUCUCCAGGCAGAUGUAAAACACUGGGGAGCUGGUGCCUUUCUUUUAGGCCUCUUGUUUGUAUUGUCACAAUAAAUAAAUAAAGACUUGAUUACAACUUUCAGUUUAGCCCAUUGUCCUAACUGACUACUGCCACAAUUGGCAAGCUCAACAGAUGAAGCUUUCGUUAGCUCCUCAAAGGGGGCUGUUGCUGCCAAAAUGACAAGUAUCUUGCUUUGUGAAUCUCAGACUGUCUAGAAGCUCAGCUUUAUGACUAAGAAUAAGAAUGGGUUGGGAGCUCCUGUCGUGUCUCAGCAGAAACAAAUCUGAUCGUAUCCAUGAGGAUACAGGUUCGAUGCUUGGGUUAAGGAUCUGGCAUUGUCGUGAGCUGUGGUGCAGGUUCCGGAAACUGCUGGGAUCCUGUGCUUCUGCGAUGUAGGCUAGCAGCUAUAGCUCCUAUUUGACCCCUAACCUGAGAAUCUCCAUAUGCUGUGGGUGCAGCCCUAAAAAAAAAAAAAAGAGAGAGAGAAAGAAUGGGUUUGAUGAAGUCUCUCUCAACCAUAAUGCAAUAUGUUUUUCAAAUGCUUGGUGAAAGAGUUAAGGAAGCCACUGACACACUGAAGCAGGUCAAGAAGCAUAAAUAAUAAAGACUUUAUUUCAUAUGGUAGUAAAUAUGUACAAAGCUUAGCACUCUAUAUUUUUUAAUCUCAUUUAAGCAAUAAGACAGACCUAAGAGGUAAGUGCUAUUGUUAUCUUCAUUUUAUAAAAAAAUAAAGACUAAGAAAGUCUAACAUGGUAAAAUGGAUUUUAUAAGCUAUAAAUGCUAUAAAUGCAAUUUUGUCAACAUUGGAGUUCCUGCAACAGUACAGUGGGUUAAGAAUCUGACUACAUUGGGUUGCAUCUCUGUGGAGGUGAAGGUUCAAUCCCUGAUCCAGCUUAGAGGGUUAAAAGAUCUCGCAUUGCUGGAGCUGUGGUGUAGGUCACAGCUGUGGCUCAGAUUCAGUUCUUGGAGGGGGUCUUCCAUAUGCCACAGAUGCAGCCAUAAUCACUGUGUAGUUUAAGAAAUAACUUUUCCAUGUAGAUCUUACUUAAACUUAGCUCUUUCAGCACCCCAGUCUAAGAGAAUUUUUUAAUGCCAUGAUCUUGUCAAAUUGGAUGCUAUUAGUGUUUAAGGCUGGCCAAAGCUUGUAUUAAAAAAAAAGCAUUUGGCUAUGAUUGGUGACUGAUAAAUGUUAAAUAAUUGAUGGUUCUAAAUAUGGUUCAUUAUUAUUUAUUAUUGCUAUGGUUCACUAUUAUUGUUAUAGAGUAAUACAAAAUAAUAAUUUUGUUAAUUUUAUAAUGCUGUUAACACGACAAUGGAAUUUUAGAUUCAAAGUUUUACUCCAGUAAUUCUGGAUAUAAUCAGUAACUACAACCCUUCUGAAUUAUUCUGAUAUUCUUGGAAUAAAGAAAGGCCCAUGUUGAGAGCCAAAAUUGCAAGCAUGUAUUUCCUUUGUUGGUAGAUUAACAAUAUCAAUAAAUUGUUUAAAACGUUAGUAAAGAAAGAAUGAAAAAAAUAAAUUUUAACAAUCUUAUGAACUGGUGUGAUAUUUGACUCUAAAGUCUGCUUUCUUACCCAUGCUGUUACCUUCUACAGAGGAAAUAAAACUUUCUUUAUUCUUAGACUCUUAGGAAAUUUUCCAUAAGAUCUAAUUCAUCCAGAAUACACCAUUUGUCUUAUAAUUUCCAUUUGUAGACAGAGCUUAAUAAAAAUUUACAUAGAUCCAAGUAUUCCUUACAGCUUUUUUGCCUUAUCACCCACUCAACUACCUUCAGUCCCCAAGCUUUUACCUACUAUUCUGCUCCACUUUAUUAUCAGGUUCAGCAUCCCUAUACAUUUUUUUGUCAAGUCUAUCAGAUUCUCUAGGGAAGUGGGUCAUUUUCUUGCUCAUUAAAUCUGUCAUUUUGUUUUUCUAAUAUCAAAUAAUAUUGUAUACCCCACAAGAUACCGAUUAUUUUCACAAUCACAGAUUUCCAUAUUUCCAUUUCUAUAUCCUGCUAUAACUACAUGAUAAUCUUGAAAAUCACCAAUAAAUUGGUGUACACCAUGAAUCAUUUUUUGAAAGUGGCACCUUUUCUUGCUAUAGUCCAUUGUAUUUCCUCUUCCCAAUAAUUGUAAAAAUAUGUGACUGCAAAUAUAAAUCACCAGUAACCAUGGAAAGAAGAGGUAUCUUGGCUUAACAUAUAAAACUGAGCUUUGGAAUUAGACAAACAGUGGUGCCCUGAAAAGCUGCCCUGAAAAGCUGCAUGAUUUUGGAGAGAUGUUUACUUCUCGGUGUCUCAGUCAAUGUCUCUUCACUGUGAAAGGAGGAUUACUCUCACUUUGCAGUCAUUUUGGAAAAAAAAAAAAAAUCUAGUUAAUGUAUCAAAAAUACUUGACUCACUGCUUGGCAACUAAUAAUACAAAGGUCAAAGCAUUUCUGACAGCUAGGCUUAUGUUAAGAGCUUUACACGUUUUUUAUCUGAUUUGAUUUAAUCCUCAUAAGAACAUUAUGAUGUACAGACUUGUUGCAAGAAGAGGUACUUUUCCCAUUUCUUCAUUUUCAUUCUCCAUUUCAGAUGUUUUUGUUGAUAUUUGUGCUAUGGACUAAAUUGUGUCCUUGACAAAAUUCACCUUUUGAAACCCUAACUUAUAACUAUAUUUAGAGAUGGGCCUUUGGGAGGUAAUUAAAACUAAAUGGGUCAUGACUGUAGAACCCUCAUGAUGGCAUUUGUUGCUUUAUAAGAAGAGGAACAUUGCUCUCUUUCUCUCUCUCUGCCACUGAAGAUACAAAGAGAAGUUGGCUAUUUGCAAACCAGAAAGAGAGCCUUUAUCAGUCCAAUCUCUUGACACCUUUAUCUUGGACUUCCAGAUAUUAAUCUUAGUCUCCAGAACUAUAAGAAAUAAGUGUUUGUUGUUUACCCAGUCUGUGGUAUUUUGUUGUAAUAGCCCAAGUAGAUUAACACAAGCUGAGAUGCAAUAUAUCUUAUAUCAUUAUUAUUUAAAAUAAUAAUCAUCUGAUUACUUGUUUAUUCCAGCUAUUGAAAUCCAUUUAUCAAAUUUUCUAUAUAUUUUUUCAAUAUCUCCAUUAAAUAAACACUUCGUUUUUCUCUCCUGCAUUGUUCUUUUCCAAUAAUGCCAUCUAAAAACAAUCUUAUUCCUUCUUUUUUUCUCAAAAGAGAUAUUGCAUUCUAGAGGACAGGAAUUGUCUCUUUUCAACUCUUGAUCUUUUAUAACCUAUAACAGAAACUCACUAAAUAUCUAACUGAACUAAUGCAAUAAAUUGGUGGAAGGAGAUUAAGUUUUAUUCUGUAAAAUAUGCACUAUUUGAUUAUGUUGAUAAGGAGAGACAUGUAUUAUUUAUUUUAUUGAAAAAUCUCAUAAAUACUUUAUGUAGUUUGAGAUCAUUCAUAGAUAUGUAUAUAUAUACACACAUAGAGAGAGAGCUGUAUAUAUACAUAUUCAUAUAGAUUUAUAUUAUAUAUGCAGAAAUAAAAUAUAAGCACAUUAAAAUAUCAAAGAUAACAUCCUGAAUAUAAGUUUAAGGAUGACUUUUUCUCCUAAAUAUUAUGUACAUAUUUUUUUUCAAAUCUACUACUUUUAAUUCUAAUAAAAAUGUUAAAAUUCAGGGUUUUUUUUGAAAGAUUUUAAUAGACACUAUUAUAAGAAAUCUACCAAAAAUAGUUGUAGAAUUUCAGUGCCAUGGAGUGAAAAAAUCCAGAUUACACAUCAGGUCAAAUGCCAGAUUCAGUGACGCUUUCCAAUUUGAGCUUGUCUUAAUCAUAUUUUGGAAAGUAUGGUAGAAAUACAAAAUGGAUGAAGCUCAUUGAGGAGGCUUAAAAUGCUUUCCGUGUUUAUCCCCCAAACAAAUUGUAAUUGAUCUGUCAUAAUGUUCUACUUUUUGGAACAUAAAGGAGAAAUAAAUAAUGUUUAUAUGUAGGCCACACUGUAGUUUAGAAGAGCCUAAGAACACUUUUUUUUUUUUUGAGAAUUACUUGACAUCUACAAGCCUGGUACUCAUGUACAUGGUGCACAGGUGUUAGUUCAGCUUUUGCCAGGCCUCAUGACUCUGACCCAAGCCUACUUAGUUGUCUCCUUUUCUUCAGGAUUCCUUAUCUCCAGCCUCCCCAGUUCACUUCAUCUUGAAAUAUGUCCCAUGUUCUCCCCUCUCUUUCAGCCCAGAUGAUGCAUGCUUAUUUUCCAAGGAGUCUGGAGCAGUUUUAUAAAUUCUCUUCUCUAUUGCAUUCUUGUCAUAGCCCUGAUUCACGUAGACAUUGCUUAACUGUCCUGAAGAGUCAAUGCUAGAAGUAAAAUACAAACAAAUUAAAACGGAAUAUUGCCCUUGUUGUUCUUUUUAGGAUCCCCAUCAAAACAUUAAUCUUCCUCAAGGAAUAAUGAAUAACUAUAAAUAAUUGGAGAACAGCCAACUAGAUGAAUAAUGUGAAAGAAAAGUUCAAUGACUAAUAUUACAAAUUUCACUUGCUGUACAGUCUCCUACUUAUCUAUCAUCAUGCCUGUACUGUGAACUCUUUCAGGUCAGAAACUAUAUCUUAUUCUUGUAGCACAAUGCCAGGCUAGCUCAGAGAAGACACAGAAAUGCCCACAUUCAAUGAAUAAAGUUAAUACACAUUUCUCUAAUUAUAUGCUUAACUACAUAUUCGUUCUUUUAUUUUUUUUUUAUUUUUUAUUUUUUGGCUUUUUAGGGUCGCACCCAUGAAACGUGGAAGUUCCCAGGCUAGGGGUCCAAUCAGAGCUACAGCUGCUGGCCUGUACCACAGCCACAGCAACAAAGGAUCCAAGUUGUGUCUGGGACCUGCACCACAGCUCAUGGCAACGCUGGACCCCCAACCCACUGAGCAAGGCCAGGGACUGAACCCGCAUCUUCAUGGAUUCUAGUCAGAUUCCUUUCCACUGCACCACGAAGGGAACUCUGUCUUUAAUUUUAACUUUAAAACAUUUUUUAAACCUUUUAGAAAUAAAACAGCUGAAAAGUAUAUGUAAUAGCUUACUUUGUAGCCUUAUGAUUCGACAAGGGACAUCUUCAUCAAAUUCUAUAAUAAAUGAAUCUCAGUAGAAAAGCCAUUGCAUGUUCUCUCCUGCGUU
Molecule: long non-coding RNA, 5301 nt
Filed under: Sus scrofa (pig)
Lineage: Eukaryota; Metazoa; Chordata; Mammalia; Artiodactyla; Suidae
Description: lncRNA (ENSSSCG00035078473.1)
Source: RNAcentral